RNAcentral lists this ribosomal RNA (609 nucleotides) under Triticum aestivum (bread wheat). RNAcentral describes it as "partial small subunit ribosomal RNA". The record is from RNAcentral. Lineage: Eukaryota; Viridiplantae; Streptophyta; Magnoliopsida; Poales; Poaceae.
AUGGGUAACUGUCAACUCAAGGAUUUGAAUUUAUUUGGCAGGCACCAAUUGGCAGUGAGAGGUAGAAGGGGAAUGUUGACACCAUGUUCCAUGCUCCUUCAGACAUGGAGUCCAAGCGCGCACGGCUCCGUCGCCCCACGCGCUCCAUUGGAGGAGCCCCCGCCCUGCGCGUGGCCGCCUUGGAGUUGGAGCGCUUCCUGCCCCACACCCCUUGUCUGCUCUGGCGGCGGGUUCCUCCUGGCCGCGAUGAUGCCCGAGGCCGGCCGCUACACCCACAAGAAGGAUGACGGCAUCUGCAACAGCAGAUGUUGCUGCAAAGAUAUUAGUGUGGUGGUCAUUGUGUGCAUGCAAUUAACCAGGACGACGAGCGCGGCGACGAGUCCGACUGGGGCGCGCUGGCAGAGGAGGCCCAGGAGCUCGCCGCCCCUGAUGGCGAGGGCGUGCGCGACUUGGAUGGUGGCCGCCAAGGCCAACGCCGGUGAGGACGUCGUCCUGGAGUUCAUUGGGGGGUUCAUCCCAUUUGACAAGGCACGUGCCACUACAAGUGGAGGGUGGCUUUGUGAAGGAUGUGGAGGUGGGAGAAGAAGAACUCUGAAGGUAAACAAUCUA